GGGUGUGGAGGUGAUUUGGAUAUGACAUCUGUCACCUUAUUGAUCCCUGGGUUUGGUUUCACUGAUCUGGGUGGCUAGGCCAGUGUCCCUCCCCUCCAUCACUACUCCACAUGUGUCUCUCCUAAAGCUGCAUACUCAGGGCAAGAGUGCGACCUUCCUAAAUAGAGAACUUGUCUUCCAUCGAAUUAUAGGGAGUAGCUGUGCUCCUCUGCUAGAACCUCCAAACAAGCUCUUAAGGUCCAAACUUGAACGGUGUUCGACAACAGAUAAGUGGCUAAGAAAAUUGUGGCAUAUGUACACAAAGGAAUACUAU
RNAcentral lists this small nuclear RNA (313 nucleotides) under Erinaceus europaeus (western European hedgehog). Its description in RNAcentral is "7SK RNA (ENSEEUG00000020688.1)". It matches the Rfam family "7SK RNA". From Rfam's summary of the family: 7SK was discovered as an abundant small nuclear RNA in the mid-70s but a possible function has only recently been suggested. Two independent studies have found that 7SK RNA binds the CDK9/cyclin T complex (known as elongation factor P-TEFb). Lineage: Eukaryota; Metazoa; Chordata; Mammalia; Eulipotyphla; Erinaceidae. The record is from RNAcentral.